ACAAAAGCAGCUCAACUUGAAGCAGGUGAUUUAGUGAUCAGAACAAAACAAGAUUAACUAGGAAAAACUUCCAUAAAGAGAUGCUAUGCUGUACAGAGUAACAUAUCCUUUUCAUGAUUAUGUUAACAAGGAAAAACUUCCAUAAACAGAUGCUGUACAGAGUAACAUAUCCUUUUCAUGCUGAUUUUCUUAACAAGG
Cervus elaphus (red deer) is the source of this 198-nucleotide long non-coding RNA. RefSeq lists it as uncharacterized. The transcript is spliced from 2 exons. NCBI's taxonomy places the organism in Eukaryota, Metazoa, Chordata, Mammalia, Artiodactyla, Cervidae. The record is from RefSeq and is a predicted model, not a curated record.